UACGUAGGGUGCAAGCGUUGUCCGGAAUUAUUGGGCGUAAAGAGCUCGUAGGCGGUCUGUCGCGUCUGCUGUGAAAACUCGGGGCUUAACCCCGGGCCUGCAGUGGGUACGGGCUGACUAGAGUUCGGUAGGGGAGACUGGAAUUCCUGGUGUAGCGGUGAAAUGCGCAGAUAUCAGGAGGAACACCGGUGGCGAAGGCGGGUCUCUGGGCCGAUACUGACGCUGAGGAGCGAAAGCGUGGGGAGCGAACAGG
RNAcentral lists this ribosomal RNA (253 nucleotides) under uncultured bacterium. RNAcentral describes it as "partial 16S ribosomal RNA". It matches the Rfam family "Bacterial small subunit ribosomal RNA", at positions 524 to 776 of the family's 1533-position model. The record is from RNAcentral.